This 1563-nucleotide ribosomal RNA is filed under the name metagenome. RNAcentral describes it as "SSU rRNA". It matches the Rfam family "Eukaryotic small subunit ribosomal RNA", at positions 221 to 1801 of the family's 1831-position model. The record is from RNAcentral.
GCCAAUCGGGUCUUCGGAUUCGUUUUGUUGGUGACUCUGAAUAACUUUGCUGAUCGCACGGUCUCGCACCGGCGACGUAUCUUUCAAGUGUCUGCCUUAUCAACUGUCGAUGGUAGGUUAUGCGCCUACCAUGGUUGUAACGGGUAACGGGGAAUCAGGGUUCGAUUCCGGAGAGGGAGCCUGAGAAACGGCUACCACAUCCAAGGAAGGCAGCAGGCGCGCAAAUUACCCACUCCCGGCACGGGGAGGUAGUGACGAAAAAUAACAAUACGGAACUCAUACGAGGCUCCGUAAUUGGAAUGAGUACACUUUAAAUCCUUUAACGAGGAUCUAUUGGAGGGCAAGUCUGGUGCCAGCAGCCGCGGUAAUUCCAGCUCCAAUAGCGUAUAUUAAAGUUGUUGUGGUUAAAAAGCUCGUAGUUGGAUCUCGGUUUCGGGUGAAUGGUGCACCUUGCGGUGUUUACUAUUUACUCGGACGAUUUUGUUGGUUCGUUCCUGGUUCUCUUUAUCGAGUGCCUUGAGUGGCCAACACGUUUACUUUGAAAAAAUUGGAGUGCUCAAAGCAGGCGCUACAGCCUGAACAUUAGUGCAUGGAAUAAUGGAAUAGGAUCUCGGUUCUAUUUCGUUGGCUUUCGGAGUCGAGGUAAUGAUUAAUAGGGACAGACGGGGGCAUUCGUACUGCGACGUUAGAGGUGAAAUUCUUGAUCGUCGCAAGACGAACUACUGCGAAAGCAUUUGCCAAGAAUGUUUUCAUUAGUCAAGAACGAAAGUUAGAGGUUCGAAGGCGAUCAGAUACCGCCCUAGUUCUAACCAUAAACGAUGUCGACCGGCAAUCUGCUCUCGUUAAAUUAAUGACUGAGCAGGCGGCCUGCUGGAAACAAGAGUAUUUGGAUUCCAGGGGGAGUAUGGUUGCAAAGCUGAAACUUAAAAGAAUUGACGGAAGGGCACCACCAGGAGUGGAGCCUGCGGCUUAAUUUGACCCAACACGGGAAAUCUCACCAGGCCCGGACACCGGAAGGAUUGACAGAUUGAGAGCUCUUUCUUGAUUCGGUGGGUGGUGGUGCAUGGCCGUUCUUAGUUGGUGGAGCGAUUUGUCUGGUUAAUUCCGAUAACGAACGAGACUCUGGCCUACUAAAUAGACGUCGAAUCUUUUAUAGGUUUGUCGUAUGCUUCUUAGAGGGACGGGCGGCGUUUAGCCGCACGAGAAUGAGCAAUAACAGGUCUGUGAUGCCCUUAGAUGUUCUGGGCCGCACGCGCGCUACACUGAAGAAAUCAGCGUGUGUUCCUAGUCCGAAAGGAUUGGGUAACCCGUAGAACCUUCUUCGUGAUGGGGAUUGGGGAUUGCAAUUAUUCCCCAUGAACGAGGAAUUCCCAGUAGGCGCGAGUCAUAAGCUUGCGUCGAUUACGUCCCUGCCCUUUGUACACACCGCCCGUCGCUACUACCGAUCGAGUGAUUUAGUGAGGACUCCGAACUGGUCUCUGAUGUGACUCUCGGGUUAUGUCGGUGUACUGGAAAGUUGUCCAAACUUGAUUACUUAGAGGAAGUAAAAGUCGUAACAAGGUU